GAACUAAAAAAUAAAUAUUAAAAUUUUUAAAAAAAGUCCUUUGGGUAUAGACUGAGGAGUGGGAUAGCUGGGUCAAAUGGUGGUUUCAUUCCCAGUUUUCGACUCCUAUAGCGCAAGAAUAUCAAGAAUCAAUAAAUGGGAUGGAUUCAAACUAAAAAGCUUCUUCUCAGCGAAAGAAUUAAUCAGUGAAGUGAAUAGAGAGCCCACUAAUGGGGAACAAAUUCUUACCACAUGCAUGUCAGAGAACUAAUCUCUAGAAUAUAUAUAAAGAACUCAAAAAUCUUAACACCAAAAAAAAAGAAAUAACCCAAUCAAUAAAGGGCCAAGGAACUGAACAGACACUUCUCAGAAGAGGAUAUACAAUCAACAAAUAUAUGAAAAAAUGCUCAUCAUCUCUAGCAAUCAGAGAAAUGCAAAUCAAAACUACUCUAAGAUAUCAUCUCACUCCAGUCAGAAUGACAGCUAUUAUGAAGACAAACAACUAUAAGUGUUGGUGAGGAUGUGGGGAAAAAGGCACACUGCUGGUGGGACUGCAAGUUGGUGCAGCCAAUAUGGAAAUCAGUAUGGAGAAUCCUUCCAAGAAAUUUAUAACCACAUUUCUCAUGUUAAAUCUUUUGCUUAGGGGCUGGGGCUCAG
RNAcentral lists this long non-coding RNA (636 nucleotides) under Marmota monax (woodchuck). The record is from RNAcentral. Lineage: Eukaryota; Metazoa; Chordata; Mammalia; Rodentia; Sciuridae.